GUUGGUUUAUCCAGCAGGAGUAAAACCUGCCUCGGAAAUCUGAGGGUGGCCACGAACCCACAAGUCCAGAUUCGCAGGUGCGAGCGCUAAAGACUGAGCUACUGGGUCGAUGGAGAACGUCUUUCUCUGCGUCAGGGGCGGAAAGACUUAUCUCCCACCAAAAAGCAAAAACAAAAAGGAGAAGCCGGUGGCUCGUUGGUCUAGGGGUAUGAUUCUCGCUUUGGGUGUGAGAGGUCCUGGGUUCAAAUCCCAGACGAGCUCCUUUUUCCUUUUCUCCCUUUUCGGAUUUUCAGCCAGGACGUGAGACUAGGAAGGCGGAGGUAGGUUCCUGUUGGCAGGGCCUCAGUGGAGACCUUCCGGGGUCCCGGGACGCAGACGCAGCGGCCUGAAUCGCUCGCCUUGCUGAAAUGGGAUCCAGCGCGGCCAACUGCUGCAACCGCUGUUAAAGGAGACGACCCCGGGCAGCAGGAGGAAGUUAUUUAUAGGACGUUAUUUAGAAUAAGGAAGAACGCGCCGGGCUCAUUGGUCGCUCCAGGGGCAUAAAUUUUUUCUAGGAUUCGAGAGUAUGGCGGCUCAAGUCCCAGAUUCGGCUCGGCCUACAGACCUCAGCGCUAGACAUGGACGCCCUUCAAAGGACAUUUCAGCGGACGGCAGAGAAUACAGAUUUAUGUCGGGGCGGUGUGGAAGGAGCCUCUGGCGGGUCAUCCCCAUUUAUGGGAGAUCGCAGAGUGGUGAGCGAAGACUUACACCAGCGGGGGCAUCCGUGCGGAACUGAAACUGUUGUGGGGGACCCCCAGUCGCCCUGGUUUCUGGGGCUGAUUCAUUAUGUCACUUAGUUUCUACUAUUCUCAUGCCACCCCGCCAUUUACUAGACAUAAAGCAUUCUUAAGGGAGCCCGGCUAGCUCAGUCGGUAGAGCAUGAGACUCUUAAUCUCAGGGUCGUGGGUUCGAGCCCCACGUUGGGCGACUUGUUUUCUUCCUUGCUACCUUGGAGUUCUGGAAACAGCCAGCGUUUAAUGAACACUGCUAGGUGCCACAUCGCGCUCUGUGAUGGUAUCUCCUCCAUCAUUGAAUUUUGGUCCCCGCGCGCUCGCAGCAGCGAGGAUUGUCUGUGAAGUGACCAAAGGCAGCACCGGGAUUGGCUGGUUGCCAGCCGGAG
This 1159-nucleotide transfer RNA is filed under the name Piliocolobus tephrosceles (Ugandan red Colobus). RNAcentral describes it as "lncRNA (ENSPTEG00000012602.1)". The stretch from base 894 to 966 matches the Rfam family "tRNA". The record is from RNAcentral. Lineage: Eukaryota; Metazoa; Chordata; Mammalia; Primates; Cercopithecidae.